Molecule: non-coding RNA, 6542 nt
Organism: Podarcis lilfordi (Lilford's wall lizard)
Lineage: Eukaryota; Metazoa; Chordata; Lepidosauria; Squamata; Lacertidae
Source: the annotation of a GenBank genome assembly
UGUGCUUUUAAAUUUAGAAAUUUUGGUAAUUAAGUGGUACAUAAAUAGCAGAAAUAAAUAUGCAGAAAUCGUACUUCAAUGCUGACUUUCCCAGAUUGGAUCGGAGAUAGGAAAAUCCCCGUGUUUGAAUGCUCUGUGUAAAACAAUUUCCUGUACGUAGAAAGGUAGCGUGACAGGAGGAGGAAGAGUCUUAGCCUAGUCUUCUCCCCAAGCAGGAGGGGCUUUCUUUGGCUGCAGAAACAUCCAGACAUCUGACACGUAACCUUUGCUGUUAGGGAUGGUACAAUUCAAGAAGGGGUGACCUGCGACUCCAGUCUGCUUGAAACUCCCUUUUGAAGGAACUCGGAAGGGAUGGUGUAUAACUCCUGCCUGCAAUAGAUCAGGUCGGAGUUCAUCUUUGCUCCUCUUCUUCUUUUUUAAAACUGCUGGCAAUUCCCUUUGGUGUUUUAGUGUAUUUUGGUUUGUUGAUCUCUCUCGCUCACACAGCAUUCUUGGGAACUCUGGUUUGACUCUCGUGCAUUCCACUUAACAGGUGCCUUCAGCAAAAAACAUAAAUCACUGCUCUUUUUUACCAGGAAUAUUUCCAGUUCUGUGGCCAUGCCGAAGAACCUAAGAAGAGCUUGCUGGAUCAGGCCAAUGGCCCAUCUAGUCCAGCAUCCUGUUCUCCCAGUGACCUACCAGACGCCUGUGUGAAACCAGGGAGCAGCACAGGAGCACAAGAGUGCUCUGCUCACCUGCGAUUCUCAGCAAUUGGUAUUCAGAGGAAUCAUAAUAGAAUCAUAGAAUUUCAGAAUUGGAAGGGAUGACAAGGGUCAUCUAGUCCCACCCCCUGAAAUGUCUUCUCUUUGGCGAUCACAUGUAGCCGAGUAAGAUCUUCCAUAAACACGGUUUUAACAAUGAGUCCGUAGGUGACUGUGGAGGCCAAUUCUGGAUCCACACAUCCUUCCACAGUGGGGACAUUGGUUUCCGGGCGGGAGUUCAUCACGGUGUGGAUUUGCCAAGCAUGCUUUCCUCUUAGCACGUUUCUCCCUUGCGUCCUGAGUUCGAGUGUCUUCAAAGUCCAUGACACCUUUGGUAAAGGCUGUUCUCCAGCUGGAGCGCUCGCAGGCCAGUGCUUCCCAGUUGUCGGUGUUUAUACUACAUUUUUAUAAAUUUGCCUUGAGACCAUCUUUAAACCUCUUUUGUUGACCACCUACUCACCUGAAAUGUAGUGGAGGUAGAACAUAGCCAUUGUGGCUAGUAACCAUUGAAUGCAUAUGAUAAUAUAUAAAGUAUUUUGUGUGUGGAUGUUCGUUUAUGAACUGGUCGCCUUUUCCCCUUUCCAUACAAAUCAUGUUUCUCUUUUCACCUGGACAUUGGGCUUUCCAGAGAUGAUAGUGAGGACCUCCUUAUCAUGCCUUUUUAGAUAAUGUAAAUUCCCCAUCAAGCCCUCCCAGGUUGUACCACUUCCCCCAUCAAAUCAAUCCUGGGAGAUGAAUCACUGAUAGUCACACUGUCUUCCUGGACUGCUAAGUUUACAACAGCCUAGAUCUGACACUUAUGCAUUUCCUGGUUAGACGUGGAGUCGCUCCCAGCCAUGUGGAUCCACCCACUGGCUGCUUGACCUUUCCCACCCACCCCUCCUUUCUGAAAACUAACAUUGGCAGAGUGAUCACAUCUCAUUCCCUUUGUCACAUGCCUGGGUGCCCAGAACAAAAACUUUUUUGUGACAAUCGCCUUCUUGAGUGUUCAUCCUCCAUGGCCCAGUAUGGAGCUGCAAAUCAUACAGACAAUGUAUGUGUUUUCUCUAGGCUUGUUCACACGUUACAGUGAACACAGGUCCAAGCUGUUUCCUCUACAAGUGCUUGUGUGAAAGAGUGUAAACUUUUUAAUUUGUACAGCUGGGCCAUUGUGUACACAGGCUGUACGCUCACUGAAUACUGCAUGUGAAUAACUGUAUGAAUGUGCAACUGAGCUGCUUGUAUAAGGAUUGUAUAAAGAUUGCACAUUUGUUGAAUGUAAUGUGUGAAUGCACAACCCAUUCUUUGUGACUCCUUUCUAAAUGCUUACAUGUUAUUUGGCUUCGAAGUCUGCAUUCUGAGCUUAAAAAACACUCCCCUCCAGUCUUCUGCGGUGUUGCAGCUUGCAGGUUAAGAUAAAGGUAAAAGGUAAAGGACCCCUGGAUGGUUAAGUCCAGUCAAAGGCAACUAUGGGGUUUCGGCGCUCAUCUCGCUUCAGGACUAGGGAGCUGGAGUUUGCCCACAGACAGCUUUCCGGGUCAUGUGGCCAGCAUGACUAAACCGCUUCUGUCACAACGGAACAACAUGACGGAAACCAGAGCGCACGGAAACGCCAUUUACCUUCCCGCUGCAGCAGUACCUAUUUAUCUACUUGCACUGGUGUGCUUUCGAACUGCUAGGUUGGCAGGAGCUGGGACAGAGCAACAGGAGCUCACCCUGUCGCGGGGAUUUGAACCACCAACCUUCUGAUCAGCAAGCCCAAGAGGCUCAGUGGUUUAGACCACAGCACCACCUGCGCCCCUUUCAGGCUAAGAUAAACUUUGCUCGACUUGAACUGUUUUAUGGCUCACUUCUAAGGGCUUGGAAGACCCUUGCUCGUGGGUAGGCAAACUAAGGCCCAGGGAACGGAUCCGGCCCAAUUGCCUUCUAUAUCCGGCCCGCGGACGGUCUGGGAAUCAGCGUGUUUUUACAUGAGUAGAAUGUGUGCUUUUAUUUAAAAUGCAUCUCUGGGUUAUUUGUGAGGCCUAGGAAUUUGUUCAUUCCCCCCCCUUCAAAAUACAGUCCGCUCCCCCCCACAAGGUCUGAGGGACAGUGGGCCGGCCCCCUGCUGAAAAAGAUUGCUGACCCCUGCCCUUGCUCCUUCGACAGCAAACUAAGCAUGGAUUAGAAUUUAUGGAGUGGCAUUAUAAAACAUGUAAGUCCUACUGUUUGGCCUUUAAAGCGUAUUAAUAUGAUAUACUUGUUCUUGGUCCAUGUUUAGGAAAAUGAUCUGAAUAAAUGGCUUUGCUUGGGUUUAAUUCCAUCAUAGGUCAAGAACUCAGGACUGAGAGUGGGAAUAUGGCCAUGGCAAAACCUAAAUCUCUCAAUUUAGGCUCAAUUUUCAAAAGCUGACAAAACGUGUUCUUAUAAGUACUGUAUGCUUAUAUAGCUUGCAGAGUUGUUCCAACAUUUGCCUUUGUUUCACUUUUCUUCUUUGUUGAUUUGACCUUUUUUGGCCCUUAACUUAUGUGACAGUUUAAUGGUAAUCCAGAUAAACCUUGAGACAUAAAUCCACGUCUUUGUGGUAUUCUGUAGGAAAUGUUUAGAUAAGGAAGUGGAAGAGUGCAAAGUGUCCUGGAAAGGAUCUUCCACAAGGUCGAAAUUGUGGCUCACUGUCAGCUGCCUCUGGUUGACCCUGCUGUGUUUUAAUGGUGCAAUGUUGAGUUGAGAAUUACUUAGAUUGUGUCUCUCUCUCUGUGUGUUGGUGAUAUGAUUAGUCGAGGUCCACAAAUGUGCUUGCUGUUGGCGAGGGGAUCUUUUUAAAUGGGUGUGUAGAGCACCAGGGAGAAUUGCUGUACAGUGGAUGCUCGGGCUGCGAACGUGAUCCAUGUGGGAUGCAUGUUCGCAACCCGCAGCGUUCGCAACCCGCAGAGGCGCAUCUGCGCACACACAGGUUGUGAUUGGGUGCUUCUGUGCAUGCGCAAAGCGCGAUUAAGCACUUCUGCACAUGCGCGACCGCCGAAACCCGGAAGUAACCUGUUCCGGUACUUCUGAGUUUUGGUGGUCCGGAAUCCAAAAAAAAAACGCAACCUGAAGCGUCUGUAACCCAAGGUAUGACUGUACUUCUCACAAACCUAGAGAAGAGGCCAAAGUGUGGUGAAUCUUGGAGAUACUUGGAAAGGAGCAAGAUGGCUUGUUGGCCUUCCGAGUGUUUUUGAGAUUCAUCACAGCACAUAUCCUCUUUCUUUCCUCCCACUCUUUCCUAGCUCGGAGUGAGGGAAGAGGAAAGAACGUCAAACAAGGGCCCGCCCUCUAGGUGUGGGUUUGUGCGUCAAGUCAGUCAUACAUUUGUGCUGGCUGCCAGGGCCUCCUGGCUUAGUUUGGAAUUUGGACUCCACAGACUGCCCUGUUUUCUGACAGAGUUGGAAAAUAAUUCUUGACUCCGGCUACAAAUUUCAGACAUUGGAAGGUGGUCUCCCAGUCAACUUCAUUGCUGAAUGAAGCUUGUAAGCCAGGAUUACUUGACCAAAGGCCAUUGCUUUUAUGCAUCACACCACAACUAGAUAGUCUUUUACCUGUCAAGUGACACAUUUCCUUGGGGAUAAUCGGCCAGAGACAGUUUACCACUGGUGGGCAGCAGACGGUGGGAUGAAAGUCGAAAGUAUGCAGGGUCACCUCCUAUCCCCCUCUGCAUUUCUGUCACCCCCGCUUUCCUUUCCCCUCAAUCUUCUUCCUUCUACCACCCCUUUUGCUUCUCCCACCUCCCUCCCCACCCAGAAUUCUGCAGGGGGAAGGAAAGGUGGCUCUUCCCAAAAAUAUGAAUGGAGAGGGAAUUCCCUGAAGUGUUUCACCCAGUCAUAACAACAACAACAACAACAACAACAAUAUUUUUUUCUUUAUACCCCUAGUCACUCUGGGCGGCUCCCAACACAAUAUUAAAAACACGAUAAAACAUCAAACAUUAAAAAUUUCCCUAAACAGGGCUGCCUUCAGAUGUCUUCUAAAAGUCAGAUAGUUGUUUAUUUCCUUUACAUCUGAUGGGAGGGCGUUCCACAGGGAGGGGGCUACUGCUGCAAAGGACCUCUACCUGAUUCCCUGUAACCUCACUUCUCGCAGUGAGGGAACCGCCAGAAGGCCCUUUGAGAUGGACCUCAUGGGGCUGAACGAUGGGGGUGGAGACGCUCCUUCAGGUAUACUGAGCUGAGGCCAUUUAGGGCUUUAAAGGUCAGCACCAACACUUUGAAUUGUGCUCAGAAACAUACUGGGAGCCAAUGGAGGUCUUUCAGGACUGGUGUUAUGUGGUCUCGGCAGCCACUCCCAGUCACUGGUCUAGCUGCCGCAUUCUGGAUUAGUUGUAGUUUCCGGGUCAUCUUCAAAGGUAGCCCCACGUAGAGCGCAUUGCAGUAGUCCAAGUGGGACAUAACUAGAGCAUGCACCACUCUGGCGAGACAGUCUGCGGGCAGGUAGGGUCUCCACCUUCAUACCAAAUGGAGCUGAUAGACAGCUGCCUUGGACACAGAAUUAACCUGCGCCUCCAUAAUCACUGUACGGCCAAAGUAAUUGUUUCAUUGCCUUAAGUUUACAGAGCUACUAACCUUUUCUCAUUUUAUAUUUUGGUUUCAUUGAGACAUAGCAUGCAAAGGGCUUUUGAAAUUAGACUGAGGACUGGAUGGAUUGCUCCACUUUUCUGUCUAGGCUUUGAGUGGUGUUGUUGGGUGCCUGCCGUCUGCCCAGCCCCGACUGGCGACUCUCAAGAAAUAUCACUGGGGAAAUAUCCCUGUAUUUUGCACCACAAGCCUCCUGCUGUCAGGAUGAGCCUUCUUCCGUACUGCUGAAGUCUCGCCUCGCCGCCUUCAUAUCUUCUGAACCUGCCAGUUUUGUCCCUCUCCCCUGCGCUGUUUUGAAACCCCCCUGAUGGUUUUCUGAGGGGGGAGUCCUGGGCAGUCACUCAGAUCGGAUGGCUGGUGCUCGAGGGAGAUAUUCCAGGGCCCUGGAGAUGACUCAAGGCAAGAAGCCCUUUUCAUUUCUGUCACCUGACUUCUUAACGCAAAGGCUCAUCUUUUGGGGAAUUUCCCACAGGCAGCCUUCUUGUACAGACUGCACAGCAUGGCAAGCAGGAACGCCUCACUCCCCAAUGCCUCUCCUUUUGUCUAAAGCCUGAUUUAAAUCGCAUUUUACCAGUACUGCACACCCACAAUACUUCUAUAAAUCUUGCAGCCAUUGUACACAGUUGUUUACACAGGUGUUUUGUCAAGGUUUUUUGCUACUGGCAGUCCACUAGGUCAGGAGUGCAGAGAGGGUUCAUUUCUUCGAAUGGUCCCGGAGCUUUUCUGAGUUGUGGAAGAGACCUAGGCCCCACCUGCACUAUGCAUUUAAAACAGUAUCAUGCCAUUUUAGACAGUCACACCUCCUCCCAAAGAAUCCUGGGGGUUGUAGUUGGUUAAGGGCGCAGGGAGUUGUUAAAAUGCCCUCUAUUCCCCACAGAAAGCUGCAAUUUCCACAGCGGUUUAACCAUCCAUCACUCUUCCUAGGGAUUUCUGGGAAUUGUAGCUCUGUGAGGAGAAUUGGGGUCUCCUAACCACUCUCAGCUCCCUUAAGAAACUACUGUUUGCCAGAUCCUUUGGGGGAAGCACUGAAGGAGGUAGAGGAGUGUGGGGGGAGCGCCCUGCCCCUGACAGUGCUAUCCUGGCAGGGUACCAUCAUGGCUGCCCCCCCGCGCUCGGUGCCCUGCCCCCAGGACGCAUGCCAGGCCCGCCCCCACCUGCUCUCCGCCCCCCAGUGCCGGAGCAUGAAGCUCCGCCACUGGGGGGAAGCCAUGCAUUUUUGAGGUGGUGUGAUACUGCU